Molecule: transfer RNA, 73 nt
Filed under: Felis catus (domestic cat)
Lineage: Eukaryota; Metazoa; Chordata; Mammalia; Carnivora; Felidae
Also listed under: 1 other name
Rfam family: tRNA
About the family: Transfer RNA (tRNA) molecules are approximately 80 nucleotides in length. Their secondary structure includes four short double-helical elements and three loops (D, anti-codon, and T loops).
Source: Rfam by way of RNAcentral
GCCUGGCUGGCUCAGUCGGUGGAGCGUGCGACUCUUGAUCUCAGGGUUGUGAGUUCGAGCCCCACGUUGGGUG